UUCUUUCCCAGGCGGUGGAGGGAGACUGUGACUUCCACAUCCUGAAACAAGAUGGCCAGUUCAGGGUGCUACACGCCCAGUGUCAUUCCACACCAGACUCUGCAGAGGACGUUCGGAAGUUUUGCCCACGAUGCCCAAUCCUGAUCCGGUUCAAUGACACCAACGUGGUCCACACUGUCAAAACUGCCCUGGCUGCCUUCAAUGCACAGAAUAAUGGAACCUAUUUUAAACUGGUGGAGAUUUCCCGAGCUCAAAAUGUG
This 260-nucleotide long non-coding RNA is filed under the name Rattus norvegicus (Norway rat). RNAcentral's name for it is "long non-coding RNA NONRATT007135". The record is from RNAcentral. Lineage: Eukaryota; Metazoa; Chordata; Mammalia; Rodentia; Muridae.